Molecule: microRNA precursor, 110 nt
Filed under: Sorghum bicolor (sorghum)
Lineage: Eukaryota; Viridiplantae; Streptophyta; Magnoliopsida; Poales; Poaceae
Description: MIR5565 microRNA precursor family
Rfam family: MIR5565 microRNA precursor family
Source: Rfam by way of RNAcentral
GUAGUCGGAUUCGUAUCAAUCCACAUGCGUUGGGGUGGAUUGAAGUAGAAUUUGAACUAAUUAAAUUACACCAUAAUUCACUCCAACACAUGUGGAUUGAGAUGCCGACA